CUGCAGCCAAUUAAGCCGACCAUGUCCUUUUCCCCAUGGAGGCCAGAUGUGCAGUGGCUGCAAACAGCAGCCUCCUUGGUAGCGUAUGCAGUCUGUUGCUUGUAUGGGUUGCCCUAAGGGACCUUGGAGAUAGCC
Molecule: small nucleolar RNA, 135 nt
Organism: Equus asinus (donkey)
Lineage: Eukaryota; Metazoa; Chordata; Mammalia; Perissodactyla; Equidae
Gene: SNORA70
Rfam family: Small nucleolar RNA SNORA70
About the family: snoRNA U70 seems to be exclusive to mammals and is a member of the H/ACA class of snoRNA which contain H (ANANNA) and ACA box motifs. H/ACA box snoRNAs are involved in the conversion of uridines to pseudouridines (5-ribosyluracil) a constituent of structural RNAs (transfer, ribosomal, small nuclear, and small nucleolar).
Source: Ensembl